CCUACGGGAGGCUGCAGUGGGGAAUAUUGCACAAUGGGCGCAAGCCUGAUGCAGCCAUGCCGCGUGUGUGAAGAAGGCCUUCGGGUUGUAAAGCACUUUCAGCGGGGAGGAAGGCGGUGAGGUUAAUAACCUCAUCGAUUGACGUUACCCGCAGAAGAAGCACCGGCUAACUCCGUGCCAGCAGCCGCGGUAAUACGGAGGGUGCAAGCGUUAAUCGGAAUUACUGGGCGUAAAGCGCACGCAGGCGGUCUGUCAAGUCGGAUGUGAAAUCCCCGGGCUCAACCUGGGAACUGCAUUCGAAACUGGCAGGCUAGAGUCUUGUAGAGGGGGGUAGAAUUCCAGGUGUAGCGGUGAAAUGCGUAGAGGUCUGGAGGAAUACCGGUGGCGAAGGCGGCCCCCUGGACAAAGACUGACGCUCAGGUGCGAAAGCGUGGGGAGCAAACAGGAUUAGAUACCCGAGUAGUC
RNAcentral lists this ribosomal RNA (465 nucleotides) under uncultured Klebsiella sp. RNAcentral's name for it is "bacterial SSU rRNA". It matches the Rfam family "Bacterial small subunit ribosomal RNA", at positions 338 to 795 of the family's 1533-position model. The record is from RNAcentral. Lineage: Bacteria; Pseudomonadati; Pseudomonadota; Gammaproteobacteria; Enterobacterales; Enterobacteriaceae.